Molecule: long non-coding RNA, 1173 nt
Organism: Astatotilapia calliptera (eastern happy)
Lineage: Eukaryota; Metazoa; Chordata; Actinopteri; Cichliformes; Cichlidae
Source: Ensembl
GAGAAGAAAUGUGAAUUUUAUACAUUAUGUGACAAAAUUAAUGUCACCCAUCAACACAACAGCAAAGUCAUCAAACGUUUUAUUUUGCACAUACUGCACCUCUGCACUUUUCUCUAAAUUCUCAAUUCUCUGAAGAAAUCUUCAAAUUAUGACAUAUGGUAGGUAAUGAUGACAAGUCAAAAUAUAACCUUAACAAAAAGAAAAUUCAAAUAAUGCUUACAACAAAGCUUCUUUUUUUUUUUUUGCCUAUCCCGUUGGAUCUUUAGCCAUCAGAAUUGUUGUCUUAAGGCCAAGAAAGAUGCCAAGUGGAUUUACUUUACCAAGUGGAUCAUCAUGGCCUUGCCAUAUUGGUCCAUUUGAUUGACCUUUAUUAUAAUUAUGUAUUUAUUUUAUUUUCGUGUCGGGACAGACAUGACUGGGGGAUAGGACAGGGAGAAAGAAUGAAAGAAAGAGAGGGAGAGAAAGAAAAAUAGAGGGGAGAAGAGACAGGGAAAGGGGGGAGAAAAAAAAGAAAAACAAACAAAACACCUGGAUCACCUGUAUGGAGAUAAAGAGCCAGAAGAGAAAACAAACAACAAAGAGCAACAUAAUAAAAACAACACCAUCGCAACAAACUAGCUAACAAUAGAUAACAAUAGAUAUUUUUUUAAUUUCACCUGUUGAGAAUGAAAAAAGAAAACAAGCAGAAGAAAACGAGAGCAAUACAAUAAACAACAUCACGAUGAUAUAUGGGAAUAUGACAGUAAAUACUAAAUAUUAAACAUUAUUGUGCAGCACAUAAGAUCGACAGCGCAGUGUGCUUUGAGGUAGGAGCCAAAAAGGGUGUUGUUUGUGUGUGUGAGCACCCGUGUGUACACCUUGCUUACAACAAAGCUGAUGAUAAUAAAGUAAUAAUCAGCAAAAAAGUACAAAAGGAGAAUUCAAAGAAAUAUGCUGAAAGUUUACAGGCAAAAAACAGGUCGAUAACUAACAAAUACAAAUACACAAGGAGCAAACAAUGCAACCAAUCACCUUUCCUACUCCUGUAGAAAAAGGCAGGCACUCAAAAAAAAUGGAAGAAAAUGAGACAAGUUAAUGACACACAAAAGAAUCAAACCUCAAAACCACAACAAUAUCCACCAUCCUUCUUUAAUUUUAACUUUUUCUUUCUGACUGUAAUGAAGCCAAAUCAUG